GACGAACGCUGGCGGCGUGCUUAACACAUGCAAGUCGAACGGAAAGGCCCUUCGGGGUACUCGAGUGGCGAACGGGGGAGUAACACGUGGGUGAUCUGCCCUGCACUUUGGGAUAAGCCUGGGAAACUGGGUCUAAUACCGAAUAGGACCACGCGCUUCAUGGUGUGUGGUGGAAAGCGUUUGCGGUGUGGGAUGGGCCCGCGGCCUAUCAGCUUGUUGGUGGGGUAAUGGCCUACCAAGGCGACGACGGGUAGCCGGCCUGAGAGGGUGACCGGCCACACUGGGACUGAGAUACGGCCCAGACUCCUACGGGAGGCAGCAGUGGGGAAUAUUGCACAAUGGGCGCAAGCCUGAUGCAGCGACGCCGCGUGAGGGAUGACGGCCUUCGGGUUGUAAACCUCUUUCACCAGGGACGAAGCGUAAGUGACGGUACCUGGAGAAGAAGCACCGGCCAACUACGUG
Molecule: ribosomal RNA, 462 nt
Filed under: uncultured bacterium
Lineage: Bacteria
Description: partial 16S ribosomal RNA
Rfam family: Bacterial small subunit ribosomal RNA
Source: RNAcentral